GCAAGUCGCACGAGAACGGUUGAUUUCGCUUGACCUAGUAAAGUGGCGCACGGGUGAGUAACGCGUGUGUAAUCUACCUUUGGAUCUGGGAUAACGUUUCGAAAGGAACGCUAAUACCAAAUAAGACCACAACCACUACGGUGGUAGCGGCCAAAGCGGGCCUCUAUUUAUAAGCUCGCGUCUGAAGACGAGCUCGCGUCCCAUUAGUUAGUUGGUGAGGUAACGGCCCACCAAGACCACGAUGGGUAGCUGAUCUGAGAGGAUGAUC
RNAcentral lists this ribosomal RNA (268 nucleotides) under uncultured bacterium. RNAcentral's name for it is "partial 16S ribosomal RNA". It matches the Rfam family "Bacterial small subunit ribosomal RNA", at positions 57 to 305 of the family's 1533-position model. The record is from RNAcentral.